This is a long non-coding RNA of Oncorhynchus tshawytscha (Chinook salmon), 1263 nucleotides long. NCBI's taxonomy places the organism in Eukaryota, Metazoa, Chordata, Actinopteri, Salmoniformes, Salmonidae. The record is from Ensembl.
CCACACCAGGUCCAGCACUCCCCAAUAACACACCAGGUCCAGCACUCCCCAAUAACACACCUCACCAAUAACACACCUCACCAAUAACACACCAGGUUCAGCACUCCCCAAUAACACACCUCACCAAUAACACACCAGGUCCAGCACUCCCCAAUAACACACCUCACCAAUAACACACCAGGUUCAGCACUCCCCAAUAACACACCUCUCCAAUAACACACCAGGUCCAGCACUCACCAAUAACACACCUCACCAAUAACACACCUCACCAAUAACACACCAGGUCCAGCACUCACCAAUUACACACCUCACCAAUUACACACCUCACCAAUAACACACCUCACCAAUAACACACCUCACCAAUUACACACCUCACUGAUAACACACCUCACCAAUAACACACCUCACCAAUAACACACCUCACCAAUAACACACCUCACCAAUCACACACCAGGUCCAGCACUCACCGAUAACACACCUCACCAAUAACGCACCUCACCGAUAACACACCUCACCAAUAACGCACCUCACCGAUAACAUACCUCACCAAUAACGCACCUCACCGAUAACACAGCUCACCGAUAACACACCUGACAGUUGCAGGACAGAACAUCCCUCUCUCCCCCUCAGUUUCCAGUCUAGCUGUAAAGAUCGAUUCCUCCCUGACCUUUGACAGCCACAUCAAACAACUGUUUGUCAUUCUGGGGUGGCAGCGUAGCCUAGUGGUUAGAGCGGUGGACUAGUAACCGAAAGGUUGCAAGUUCGAAAUCCCUGAGCAGACAAGGUACAAAUCUGUCGUUCUGUCCCUGAACAAGGCAGUUAACCCACUGUUCCUAGGCCGUCAUUGAAAAUAAGAAUUUGUUCUUAACUGACUUGCCAAGUUAAAUAAAAUAAAACAAUUCUAUCACCUCGUGAACAUUGCCAAACUCCGUCUCACUCAGUCUGAGGCAGAGAAACUGGUCCAUUUCUUUAUCUCCUCAAGGCUGGACGACUACAACACAGUCUUCACCUGGAUCCCUGGCAGGAGUCUCCAGGACUACAACACAGUCUUCACCUGGAUCCCUGGCAGGAGUCUCCAGGACUACAACACAGUCUUCACCUGGAUCCCGGGUAGGAGUCUCCAGAAGCUCCAGUACAUCCAGAACAGUACUGCCAGGAUCCUGAUGAGAGUCAGGAAACACCAUGACUUCAACCCCAUCCCGGCAUCUCUGCACUGGCUCCCAGUCUCAUAACCCUCCUGGUGACCUUCCAGUGUAGUCAUGG